UUGCUGGUCGAGAGCAGACACGACAAA
RNAcentral lists this non-coding RNA (27 nucleotides) under Mus musculus (house mouse). Lineage: Eukaryota; Metazoa; Chordata; Mammalia; Rodentia; Muridae. The record is from RNAcentral.